GCUCCUGCCCUGACAGAUUCUCCUGUCGGGGUCACAGGGACUCUAAGAUUGCUACCUGCACCUUCGCUGUCCAUGCUGUCCCGGGUGGUACUUUCCACCGCCACCACAGCGGCCCCCUCUCUGAAGAAUGCAGCCUUCCUAGGUCCAGGAGUAUUGCAGGCAACAAGGACCUUCCAUACAGGGCAGUCACACCUUGCCCCUGUACCACCUCUUCCUGAAUAUGGAGAAAAAGUUCGUUAUGGACUGAUCCCUGAGGAAUUCUUCCAGUUUCUUUAUCCUAAAACUGGUGUAACAGGACCCUGUGUGCUCGGAACUGGGCUUAUCUUGUAUGCUUUAUCCAAAGAAAUAUAUGUGAUUAGCGCAGAGACCUUCACUGCCAUAUCAUUAAUAGGGAUAAUGGUCUAUGGAAUUAAAAAAUAUGGUCCCUCUGUUGCAGAAUUUGCUGAUAAACUCAACGAGCAAAAACUUGCCCAACUAGAAGAGGUGAAGCAGGCUUCCAUCCAACAAAUCCAGAAUGCAAUUGCUAUGGAGAAGUCACAGCAGGCACUGACUCAGAAGCGCCAUUACCUUUUUGAUGUGCAAAGGAAUAACAUUGCUAUGGCUUUGGAGGUUACUUACGGGGAACGACUGUAUAGAGUAUAUAAGGAAGUAAAGAAUCGCCUGGACUAUCAUAUAGCUGUGUAGAACAUGACGCCUCGAAAGGAACAAGAGCACAUGAUAAAUUGGGUGGACAAGCACGUGGUGCAAAACAUCUCCGCACAGCAGGAAAAGGAGACAGUUGCCAAGUGCAUUGUGGACCUAAAGCUGCUGGCAAAGAAGGCUGAAGCACAGCCGGUUAUGUAAAUGGAUCUAUCCCAAUUGAGACAGCUAGAAAUAGUUGACAAACUAAAUGGAAACUAGUC
Molecule: RNA transcript, 902 nt
Organism: Piliocolobus tephrosceles (Ugandan red Colobus)
Lineage: Eukaryota; Metazoa; Chordata; Mammalia; Primates; Cercopithecidae
Gene name: ATP synthase F(0) complex subunit B1, mitochondrial pseudogene
Exons: 1
Source: RefSeq, a predicted model, not a curated record